UACGAAGGGGGCUAGCGUUGCUCGGAAUCACUGGGCGUAAAGGGUGCGUAGGCGGGUCUUUUAAGUCAGGGGUGAAAUCCUGGAGCUCAACUCCAGAACUGCCUUUGAUACUGGAAGUCUUGAGUUCGAGAGAGGUGAGUGGAACUGCGAGUGUAGAGGUGAAAUUCGUAGAUAUUCGCAAGAACACCAGUGGCGAAGGCGGCUCACUGGCUCGAUACUGACGCUGAGGUGCGAAAGCGUGGGGAGCAAACAGG
This 254-nucleotide ribosomal RNA is filed under the name uncultured bacterium. RNAcentral describes it as "partial 16S ribosomal RNA". It matches the Rfam family "Bacterial small subunit ribosomal RNA", at positions 524 to 776 of the family's 1533-position model. The record is from RNAcentral.